UGGGGAAUAUUGGACAAUGGGCGAAAGCCUGAUCCAGCCAUGCCGCGUGUGUGAAGAAGGCCUUCGGGUUGUAAAGCACUUUAAGUGGGGAGGAAUGGCUCUUGGCUAAUAACCUUGAGCAGUGACGUUACCCACAGAAUAAGCACCGGCUAACUCUGUGCCAGCAGCCGCGGUAAUACAGAGGGUGCAAGCGUUAAUCGGAAUUACUGGGCGUAAAGCGCGCGUAGGCGGUUGUAUAAGUUGGGUGUGAAAUCCCCGGGCUCAACCUGGGAAUUGCACUCAAAACUGUACGGCUAGAGUGUGGGAGAGGAAGGUAGAAUUCCAGGUGUAGCGGUGAAAUGCGUAGAUAUCUGGAGGAAUACCGAUGGCGAAGGCAGCCUUCUGGCCUAACACUGACGCU
This 400-nucleotide ribosomal RNA is filed under the name uncultured bacterium. Its description in RNAcentral is "bacterial SSU rRNA". It matches the Rfam family "Bacterial small subunit ribosomal RNA", at positions 355 to 747 of the family's 1533-position model. The record is from RNAcentral.